GCUGGAAUAGCUCAGACCGGUAGAGCAACUGAUUCGUAAUCAGUAGGUCGGAGGUUCGAUUCCUCUUUCCAGCACCA
Molecule: transfer RNA, 77 nt
Filed under: Candidatus Stygibacter australis
Lineage: Bacteria; Pseudomonadati; Candidatus Cloacimonadota; Cloacimonadia (SeqCode); Cloacimonadales (SeqCode)
Description: tRNA-Thr
Rfam family: tRNA
About the family: Transfer RNA (tRNA) molecules are approximately 80 nucleotides in length.
Source: RNAcentral